AUACUUUGGCAGAUUAGUGUGAUGGUUUUAGAACUCAUUUAUGUAAAUAUUUUACAAGUAAUA
Molecule: transfer RNA, 63 nt
Filed under: Gibbidessus pictipes
Lineage: Eukaryota; Metazoa; Arthropoda; Insecta; Coleoptera; Dytiscidae
Description: tRNA-Leu
Source: RNAcentral